AACUUACUAUUGCAAAACGGAGGAAUGUUGGAUUUAUUUGCUUCGAUCCUGGGUGCGCACUGCGCAUGCGAGGGGCAAAAAUUAACCAAAAAAAAAGAGAGAGAGAGAGAGUAGAACAGAAAAGUGAUAAGAGAGAAUGAAUGGUGGACAUGAAGCUAAAACACUUUUAGGUUCGAGCUAUGCAUGUAGGAAUGUAUGGAUGUGCAACUGCAUGCGCCGCGAAUCUUGCUUGAAUCCUUACAGGAAAAAAAGAAAAAUGCACGAUUGAUUUGGAGAUCGUGGCGUGAAUUCAGCAACCAGUUAUGAGAGAGAGUGAGUGAGAAGGCGGCGAUGGGAAUGGCCGAUUAAACUUUCUUGUGUGCAUACAGAAAAAAAAAAAGAAAAAAAAAAAAACCAGCCCGCGGAGAGAGGGCCAGGUGAAAAUGCUGAUGGAGAGGUAAGGUAGAUGGAGGUUGAACGCGAUGGAUGCUAGCAUGCAGCCUGUCUCGCGCUGCAUAAAAGAAACCAUAAUUGUCGCGUACAGAUGACGGACCCGUGAAGAGACGCAAUUCUUCUCUCUCCUGAACAAAGAAUCGUUGACUGCAUGCUACGACCCGCCAUCCAUCUAUCCAUCCAACAACCCCAAUUCAACGUCCAGGGACGGCUAUCUCAAGACUUGCAAAAACUUAUGAAGGGUUAAAGGGAAAAUAAAACAGCAAAAAAACUCGGCGGUGAAGCAUGCACAGGAGAGGUUACUUUACUCUGUCCCAUGCAUCCAAUUCAUGAACACAGAACAGAAGAGCCUUGAGCGCUCCGCAACAAGUGGUAGCGCCCACCGACCCAGGACGAGAGGCAACAUUGCCCCCUUUUUUGACUGAAAUGGAAAAUGGCACGUUCAGGUCGGAGUACGUGAAGCUCGGCGCCUUGGCGGGGGCAAACCGGUAACUUCUCGUUGUCCAGCAUUCAGUGCGCAGUGUUGCAGGAGAAGGGGCCAAACUAAAAGUGGCUGGAGCGCUAAGAUGCAAGCGGAUUUCCGUGGGCCGUCUCAUGUUUUGAUAGCGACAGAGGAUGGGAUGGGACGAACUCCAAGGAGUUACCGGGGGGCUUUGGGCACAUAUUAUCAGGGUUGGGGCGGUUGAUGGUACCGGCAUGCAUCGAUGGUUCAAGUUUGACGGAAAGUUAAUCGCAUCAGGGUUCGUUUCUUCUCUCCCCCCUUCACUUCUCAAUUUUUUUUCUCUCUUCUUUUGUUGGGCUAUCACAAAAAUCAUUUCAGUGAAAAAUGGGCAUGGAAUUUGGAAUGCAUCACUAUCAAUAAUGAAAAAAAAAAAAAAAAAAAAAACAAAAACAAAAACAAAACAAAAAGGUGGAAAUAAGAGAGAUUUCCACUAAUUUGAUCCUCCUCAGGUCAAGGAAAAACCCACACAAGGUACUACUACUGUUUAAACUUCGCCUUGGUGCCGAGCUGGAACCCAACACCGUGGGAGGGAGAAAAUCAAAUUUUGCCAGAGGAAACGCCAGUGAGGUGGUGGUUGAAUCCAAAAAGUAUGAAACAUAAAUAUCAGUGGUCGACUGAACGAAGAAGGGACGGCUUUUCUUUCGAAUCUUGAAAUAAUACACUGUCAAUUUUUAUAAGUAUGUGUAGUCGGUAAUAAUCGCGGAUUCUUUUCUUUUGCAAAAAGGAUUCCCAAUCAUACAUCCAUAGUACGAUGUACGGAAGUACAGCACAAAUCAAUCAUGUUGGCAAG
RNAcentral lists this small RNA (1724 nucleotides) under Histoplasma capsulatum. RNAcentral's name for it is "hypothetical RNA". Lineage: Eukaryota; Fungi; Ascomycota; Eurotiomycetes; Onygenales; Ajellomycetaceae. The record is from RNAcentral.